CAGUAGCCACGGGAAUACAGAGGGUGCAAGCGUUAAUCGGAAUUACUGGGCGUAAAGCGCGCGUAGGUGGUUUGUUAAGUUGGAUGUGAAAUCCCCGGGCUCAACCUGGGAACUGCAUCCAAAACUGGCAAGCUAGAGUAUGGUAGAGGGUGGUGGAAUUUCCUGUGUAGCGGUGAAAUGCGUAGAUAUAGGAAGGAACACCAGUGGCGAAGGCGACCACCUGGACUGAUACUGACACUGAGGUGCGAAAGCGUGGGGAGCAAACAGGAUUAGAUACCCCAGUAGUCCCUGUCUCUUAUAC
This 301-nucleotide ribosomal RNA is filed under the name uncultured bacterium. Its description in RNAcentral is "partial 16S ribosomal RNA". It matches the Rfam family "Bacterial small subunit ribosomal RNA", at positions 509 to 807 of the family's 1533-position model. The record is from RNAcentral.